UGAUACAUGGUUAGUGUGAAUUUCUAGGAA
Molecule: non-coding RNA, 30 nt
Filed under: Mus musculus (house mouse)
Lineage: Eukaryota; Metazoa; Chordata; Mammalia; Rodentia; Muridae
Source: RNAcentral